This 161-nucleotide unclassified non-coding RNA is filed under the name soil metagenome. RNAcentral describes it as "partial internal transcribed spacer 1". The record is from RNAcentral.
ACGAGUUUUUAAUUGUUAGGUUAGAGUUGAGCUGGUUAAUCUAAUUAAUUAUGUGCUUACUCUAAUCGAAGCAACGUCAGCUCAUACUUACACUUGUGAACUUAUUCAUUACAAACAUUAUUAUUUGUUAUUGGAACGUUUGAUUAUUAAAAGUUAAGUCA